RNAcentral lists this ribosomal RNA (308 nucleotides) under uncultured bacterium. RNAcentral describes it as "partial 16S ribosomal RNA". It matches the Rfam family "Bacterial small subunit ribosomal RNA", at positions 505 to 809 of the family's 1533-position model. The record is from RNAcentral.
GAGACAGCAGCCGCCGCGGUAAAACGAGGGGGGCAAGCGUUGUUCGGAAUUAUUGGGCGUAAAGGGUGCGUAGGCGGCUUGACAAGUCUUGUGUGAAAUCUAUGGGCUCAACCCAUAGUCUGCACGGGAAACUGUCGGGCUUGAGAAUGGGAGAGGUGAGUGGAAUUUCCGGUGUAGCGGUGAAAUGCGUAGAUAUCGGAAGGAACACCUGUGGCGAAAGCGGCUCACUGGACCAUUUCUGACGCUGAUGCACGAAAGCUAGGGGAGCAAACAGGAUUAGAUACCCCUGUAGUCCCUGUCUCUUAUAA